Molecule: ribosomal RNA, 434 nt
Filed under: uncultured bacterium
Lineage: Bacteria
Description: bacterial SSU rRNA
Rfam family: Bacterial small subunit ribosomal RNA
Source: RNAcentral
AAGAAACCCCGGCUAACUCGGGGCCAGCAGCCGCGGUAAUACGGAGGGGGUUAGCGUUGUUCGGAAUUACUGGGCGUAAAGCGCGCGUAGGCUCCUCAGAGGGGUGGGGGUGAAAUCCCGGGGCUCAACCCCGGAACUGCCUCCAAAACUGCUAGUCUAGAGUUCGAGAGAGGUGAGUGGAAUUCCGAGUGUAGAGGUGAAAUUCGUAGAUAUUCGGAGGAACACCAGUGGCGAAGGCGGCUCACUGGCUCGAUACUGACGCUGAGGUGCGAAAGUGUGGGGAGCAAACAGGAUUAGAUACCCUGGUAGUCCACACCGUAAACGAUGAAUGCCAGUCGUCGGGUAGUAUACUAUUCGGUGACACACCUAACGGAUUAAGCAUUCCGCCUGGGGAGUACGGUCGCAAGAUUAAAACUCAAAGGAAUUGACGGGGG